GACUUUUAAAAAAGAUCUUAGUCUGCAGCCCAAUCCCGUCUGAUCUCGGAAGCUAAACGGGGUCGGGCCUGGUUAGUACUUGGAUGGGAGACCACCUAGGAAGACCAGGUGCUGUAGGUGU
This 121-nucleotide ribosomal RNA is filed under the name Pteropus vampyrus (large flying fox). Lineage: Eukaryota; Metazoa; Chordata; Mammalia; Chiroptera; Pteropodidae. The record is from RNAcentral.